ACUCACUGGGAUACUUAACACUCUGUUGUUCCUCUAGUGGCGGCACCCCAUUUUCUAUGACAUGGGAACUUGUCCACGACUUCAACGCCACCACUACCUCACCACCACCAUCAGCCAAGAGACACUUAUCCAGCACCUUCUUUGGAGCACAGUCUGGAAAAUCUAUCAUUUCCCUAUUUCAAAAAAUACCCCAACUCCAACACAUGAGGAUGGUUCCACUUUUUCUACUACAGAGGUGGAUGUAUAACUCAGAUGGAGAAAGCAAGCCGUCAGUGUAGGAGUGUGGGUGGCCGGUGAAACUAGAGAAUAAUCCCUGGCCAACAGCUUCAGAGAAACGGGUACCACAGUCCUACAGCCACAUGGAACUGAAUUCUGCCAGCAACAGUGAAUGAGCUUGGAAGUGAAUACAUCCCCAGAGCCUCAAGAAAAGACUACAGCCCUACAGGUGUAAAGAAGUCUGGCUGCAAAGGGACCCCGAGACUUGAGGAAUAACAUGGUGUACGCAGGCCUCUCACUGCUGUGGCCUCUCCCGUUGCGGAGC
Molecule: long non-coding RNA, 541 nt
Organism: Aethalodelphis obliquidens (Pacific white-sided dolphin)
Lineage: Eukaryota; Metazoa; Chordata; Mammalia; Artiodactyla; Delphinidae
Exons: 5
Source: RefSeq, a predicted model, not a curated record